RNAcentral lists this ribosomal RNA (436 nucleotides) under Chlamydiales bacterium CF280911-8. Its description in RNAcentral is "bacterial LSU rRNA". It matches the Rfam family "Bacterial large subunit ribosomal RNA", at positions 1 to 441 of the family's 2925-position model. The record is from RNAcentral. Lineage: Bacteria; Pseudomonadati; Chlamydiota; Chlamydiia; Chlamydiales.
AGAAAUAAAGGGUUGUAGGAGGAUGCCUUGGCAUCAACAGGCGAUGAAGGACGCGUAAACCUGCGAUAAUCCUCGGGGAGCUGGAAGUAGCUUUGAUCCGGGGGAUUCCGAAUGGGGAAACCCAGCAAGAGUAAAGUCUUGUUAUUCUGUACUGAAUACAUAGGUACAGAAGGCGACACCUGCUGAAGUGAAACAUCUCAGUAAGCAGAGGAAUAGAAAUCAAACGAGAUUUCCUAAGUAGCGGCGAGCGAACGGGAAAGAGCCCAAACCGAAGGCUUAUGCUUUCGGGGUUGUAGGACCGGCAAUACGGAACUCUUUUCUCUUAGUUGAAUGACCUGGAAAGGUCUGCGAUACAGGGUGAUAGCCCCGUAAACGAAAAGAGAAAAGUAUCUAGCCGGUAUCCUGAGUAGGACCGAACACGUGAAACUCGGUCUGA